AUACGGAGGAUGCAAGCGUUAUCCGGAUUCAUUGGGUUUAAAGGGGUGCGUAGGCGGACUAUUAAGUCAGUGGUGAAAUCCUGCAGCUUAACUGCAGAACUGCCAUUGAUACUGAUAGCCUUGAGUUUGGUUAAGGUAGGCGGAAUGUGUAAUGUAGCGGUGAAAUGCUUAGAUAUUACACAGAACACCAAUUGCGUAGGCAGCUUACUGAGCCGACACUGACGCUGAGGCACGAAAGCGUGGGGAUC
This 248-nucleotide ribosomal RNA is filed under the name uncultured bacterium. Its description in RNAcentral is "partial 16S ribosomal RNA". It matches the Rfam family "Bacterial small subunit ribosomal RNA", at positions 523 to 769 of the family's 1533-position model. The record is from RNAcentral.